ACGCUCGACACCUACGGGAGGCAGCAGUGAGGAAUAUUGGUCAAUGGGCGCUAGCCUGAACCAGCCAAGUAGCGUGAAGGAUGAAGGCUCUAUGGGUCGUAAACUUCUUUUAUAUAAGAAUAAAGUGCAGUAUGUAUACUGUUUUGUAUGUAUUAUAUGAAUAAGGAUCGGCUAACUCCGUGCCAGCAGCCACGGUAAUCUGAGCGGGCUGGCAAGGC
Molecule: ribosomal RNA, 218 nt
Filed under: uncultured bacterium
Lineage: Bacteria
Description: partial 16S ribosomal RNA
Rfam family: Bacterial small subunit ribosomal RNA
Source: RNAcentral